This 253-nucleotide ribosomal RNA is filed under the name uncultured bacterium. Its description in RNAcentral is "partial 16S ribosomal RNA". It matches the Rfam family "Bacterial small subunit ribosomal RNA", at positions 524 to 776 of the family's 1533-position model. The record is from RNAcentral.
UACGAAGGGGGCUAGCGUUGUUCGGAAUUACUGGGCGUAAAGGGCUCGUAGGCGGCCAACUAAGUCGGAUGUGAAAUCCCCAAGCUUAACUUGGGGACUGCAUCCGAUACUGGAUGGCUUGAAUCCGGGAGAGGGAUGCAGAAUUCCAGGUGUAGCGGUGAAAUGCGUAGAUAUCUGGAGGAAUACCGGUGGCGAAGGCGGCAUCCUGGACCGGCAUUGACGCUGAGGAGCGAAAGCUAGGGGAGCAAACGGG